This is a long non-coding RNA of Mytilus californianus (California mussel), 1607 nucleotides long. RefSeq lists it as uncharacterized. Lineage: Eukaryota; Metazoa; Mollusca; Bivalvia; Mytilida; Mytilidae. The record is from RefSeq and is a predicted model, not a curated record. The transcript has 2 exons.
CUGACUUGGGACAGACACAUACAGAACGUGGCGGGGUUAAACUUAUUUGAAGGCGCCAAUCCUCCCACUAACCUGGGACAGUGUUGUAACAGUACAGCAUAAGAAUAAACUAAAAAAAAUAAGUUGAAAAAGGCUUAUCUCAUCAGAUGGGUACAGACAGAAAUACAUCUAACAAAUCACAGAGUGGACAUGGACGUGGACGGCUACUUAUACAUCCCCACAACAAAGACACUAAGUACAGAUCUUAGAGUACUCGCAGUUACUGACAGCUAGUUCAAAGCCAAUAAAAACUAAUUAAAAAAAUCAUGCAUCUAAGACUAAAAUUAUAUGAUUUCAUAUUACAUUCCAUGUUUGAUGAUACUUCAAUUGUACCUACUACAUGUAUGUGCAAAAUAUAAUAUGUAAGUAUUAUUAUUUGUUCAUGGUUUUUUUCAUAUUUUAUAAGUUACAGUGAUUAGUAACCUGUAAUUAACUGAUACAGACUAUAAAAACAAAUUAAUCACUAUCAAAACAAUUCCAAAUUGUCCCACAUUUAAACUUCCCAAUUGUCCCACAAACAUAUUCCCAAUUGUCCCACAAAAUUUCAUUACUUUUUAUAAGACCGCAAAAAAAUUUUUGUGGUCGUAUAUUGGUAUGACGUUGGCGUCGUCGGCGUCGUCCAAAGACACAUUGGUUUUCGCACUCUAUCUUUGGUUUAAGUGAAUGGAUCUCUAUGAAGUUUUACCACAAGGUUCAAUACCACAAAAGGAAGGUUGGGAUUGAUUUUGGGGGUUAUGGUACCAACAGUAAAGGAAUUAGGGGCCAAAAAUAAGCAUUUUUGUAACUUCCAGACAUAACUUGUGUGUUAGUGUAUGGAUCUCUCUGACAUUGUACCACAAGGUUCCAUAUCACAAAAGGAAUGCUGGGAUUGAUUUUGGGGGUAAUUGCCUCAAAAUUUUAAGAAUUAGGGGCAAAAAACAAGCAUUUUACUAGUUUCAUGACAAUAACUUGUGUGUAAGUGUAUGGAUCUUUCUGAAAUUGUACUACAAGGUUCCAUAUCACAAAGGGAAAACUGGAAUUGAGUUUGGGGGUAAUUGCCGAAACAUUUAGGAAUUGGGGGCCAAAAAGGGGCCAAAAAUAAGCAUUUUUUUAGUUUCCAGACAAUAACUUGUGUUCAAGUGUAUAGAUCUCUCUGAAAUUGUACUGCAAGGUACCAUACCACAAAGGGAAGGCUGGGAUUGAUGAUGGGGGUAAUUGCCUCAAUAUUUUAGGAAUUAGGGGCAAAAAACAAGCAUUUUUCUAGUUUCAGGACAAUAACUUGUGUGUAAGUGUAUGGAUCUUUCUGAAAUUGUACUACAAGGUUCCAUAUCACAAAGGGAAAGCUGGGUUUGAGUUUGGGGGUAAUUGCCCUAAAGUUUAGGAAUUUGGGGCCAAAAAGGGGCCAAAAAACAAGCAUUUUUCUAGUUUCCAGACAAUGACUUGUGUUCAAGUGUAUGGAUCUCUCUAAAAUUGUACUGCAAGGUACGAUACCACAAAGGGAAGGCUGGGAUUGAGUUUGGGGGUGAUUAAUCAUAAGGGGUUCCUUUUUUUCUUUAAAAUUUUCCAUUUUAAAUUGGUUAUUUCUGAUU